ACAUGAUGAAGCAUUUUUCUCCCCCAUUUAAAGAUCCAGUCAUGUUCCAGUUUGCAGGGGCAGAAGGGCUGGUUUGCAGUUGGUGCUGGGAGGAUAGAGCAUGCAGAAGUCCCUGGGCCAGGAAUGGAACCUGUGCCACAGAAGCAACCCAAGCCAAUGCUGGUGACGAUGCUGGUUCCUUAACCCACUGAGUCACUGGGGAAACUCCUCAUUGGUCUUUCUUAAGGGACCAGUUCUAGCAAUUAGAUGAGGCUGGCCAUUACCAGUGGUCUAGGACUGUUGUAUUCUUAUUAUCUAGUGCAAGAAGCUAAGCAAUAAUAGGACUCAAGUCUAUCUGCUAAGAAGGGGAAGAGGUAACUCUGCUUUUACUCCUUUUUCAUUCCAGCAAGUCUAUGAAGUAGAUGCUGUUAGUAUCCCCACUUCAUGGUUUGGGAAAUGGAGGAUCAGAGAGGUUGGGUGACUUGCCCCAGGUCACAGCUAGUGGUGGAGCUGGGAUUCAAACCCAGGUCUGCGAGGCUCCACAGCAGGUAUUCUCAACUACAAGAGUGUGCUACCACCUCUCACAUUCAUAGGAAGGCCAGCUGAGUUCCCACAGGACCACUGCUUUACAACUGGACCUAUCACUUUCCUGGUCCUAUCACCCCUGGCUGGAGCUUUGCUCUGGGGGUUCCUUCUGGCAUCUUGGUGGAAGCAAGGGGGGUUGAUAACUGGCAUUGUCUUGAAGGAGGAGGCUUUCCAGGCAGGCAGAAAGUUGAAAUGACUGCUGACUCAGCUAUCUGGAUGUCCUUACCUGAGGAGACAGGUAAAUAGACAGCAGUCAUGGAACCAUGAUUAAUGUUCAUAGAGUAGAUCUUACAUCCUCAAGAAAACAAUUUUGGCAACUUUUGUGUGGUGAGUACAUGCCUCCUGUGUGCUGGCUUCCUGCAUACAUGGUGUCUGCCACAACUGCCCUAGGUCUGCAGGGUCGUCCUCCAGUACAGAGUAGGAUACCUAGCAGAGAAAGAAAGUGACCUGCCAAGGUCAGAGAACAAGGUGGUGGAGGGGGCUGUGGCACACACUUAGGCCUCCUGCACUUCCCAAUAUUUCACAAUGGCCCUCAGAAAAAAAUACUUCAGUGAUGCUUCAUCUCUUUAUUCAGGAGGAGAAAGCUGUGCUUAGUACAUUUUAGAAAGCUUCUAUGCCAAUGAGUUUAAAUUGGGGUGUUGGGGCUUAGGGGGAGAACUAUCAGUUGAGUGAAAGUUCAUUUCCAGUGGUCAGUGUUGGCAGAUGAAUGAGGCAUUAUUUGGCCUUAAAGAGGCCCCUGUAAGUGGGCACAGCUGGGGCCUGGUGGAUGUGAAGCUUGCUUUGCUGGGGGGCAGCUGCAUCCUGGCUGGUUCCUCUGAAGUCAGGCUGCAUGAGAACACAUAGGCCCUGGCAGCAUCCUGGCACCACCCAAAGCAGCAAACACCAGCAGCAAGGACACAUGCCAGGAAAGUUUCUGCAACCUCUUCCUCGGCCCUGAGCUAGGCGCCUGCCAUGGACAGAAGACUGCAGGAGCCCACAGCAGACCUAGACAGACUGUUUCUUCCACAGAAUUAUCUCACUAAAUAACUCUCGCUAAAGCCUAACAAGACUUGUCAUCAAGCCCAUUUUCCGGAGGGAGAAACCGAGACUCCAAGAACUACAGAACCUAUUUCUGUGUCUCAAUACGUAGGCCGGCUCUCCGACUUGACGGAAUCGCUCUGGCAACAGCGCCCUCUAAAGGCGGAGGCGAGUAUGCCUGCGUAACAGUCGUGCCCCGUCCUUUGGCGCUGGAAAUGGCGGAGGGCUCCCUCUGGCUUCUGAGGAUUGUCCAGCGCGCCUCCGAGGUCCUGGAGAAGCCAGGAGCGCUGCCUACAACUCGGCCUUGACUUCCCCGCAGCCUUGGUCGCCGCAGCAUUGGGUCAGAGGCAUCCCUGGAGAUUGCAGAAAGUUAGCGGCGGCCCCUGUUGACGCAGCGAGUGACGGCCCGACAUACCCUGAUAGGCCACGGGGAGGGCCAGACGCAGAGCCUUGAAAGAAGGAGCUUGCGCUCUGGAAGGGGCGUGGCCAGCGCUCUUCCUCGAGGGCGGGGCUCUAGGGGAAGGGGCUCUUCUCUGGGAUAUUGUGCCACAAGCGAGGACACCCGUGCACCUAGCCCAGGGCCUGUGUCCUGGCGUCAGCGCAUCUGUGGGCAGCAACUUUACCCUCCCCAGACCUCAGUUUCUGCACCUGUAAGACGGAGGCUCUUCCACAACUGCAAAAAUCGGAGUUUCAUCCAGCAUUCUCAGAAUUCCUGUCUCCAGGCAGGCACUGAGGAAUCAGAGCUGCGUUCCUGUGGAGGCUCAGAGCUCUGAGAUCUCCUUCACUUGCUGCAUCAGUACUCCUGACACUGGAGAGUUCUGGAGGUUGGAGACCAGCCCCUUCCUGGUGGAACAGGCACCCUGUAGCCUGGGAUGUGACAGUCAUAUGACAGGGCCUGUAACAAGUAACAGUGGUAGCCCAAAUAUGUCGAGCACUUACUAUAUGCCUGGCUUUUCAUGAAGUCUGUCGCAUACGUUAUUUACACCCCCACCCGCACAGCCGUGUCUGGUGGUCCUGUUCUUGACAUCCUGUUUACUGAUGAGCCCAGAGUCACACAAUAGUAGCCAGUCCAAGGUCACCCAGCUAAUAAAUGGCUGAAGCAG
RNAcentral lists this long non-coding RNA (2684 nucleotides) under Sus scrofa (pig). RNAcentral's name for it is "lncRNA (ENSSSCG00040004235.1)". Lineage: Eukaryota; Metazoa; Chordata; Mammalia; Artiodactyla; Suidae. The record is from RNAcentral.